GAUGAACGCUGGCGGCGUGCUUAACACAUGCAAGUCGAACGAAGCACUUUAUUUGAUUUCCUUCGGGACUGAUUAUUUUGUGACUGAGUGGCGGACGGGUGAGUAACGCGUGGGUCACCUGCAUUGUACAGGGGGCGAACCGUUGGCAACGGCUGCUAAUACCGCAUAAGCGCACGGCAUCGCAUGCUGCAGUGUUAAAAACUCCGGUAGCAUACGAUGAACCGCGUUGCUUUGGUUAGUUAGUGAGCUAACGGCACAACAAGGCGACGAUCCAUAGCCGACCUGAGAGACAGACUGGCCACAUUGGGACGGAGACACGGCCCGAACUCUUACGGGAGGCAGCAGUGGGGAAUGGUGCACAACCGGCUAAAGGCUGAUGCAGCGACGCCGCUAGAGCUAAGAAGUAUUUCGGGAUGUAAAGCUCUAGCAGCAGUGCAGAUAAUGACGGUACCUGACUAAGAAGCACCGGCUAAAUACGUG
RNAcentral lists this ribosomal RNA (480 nucleotides) under uncultured bacterium. RNAcentral's name for it is "partial 16S ribosomal RNA". It matches the Rfam family "Bacterial small subunit ribosomal RNA", at positions 28 to 507 of the family's 1533-position model. The record is from RNAcentral.